GGAUCAAUUUACUGGUCGUGCCUAUGGUACGUACUGGUGUUACUGGUUCCUACCUUCUGACGAACUGUCAUGUCAUUAAUUUGGUGUGGCGGGGAAUCAGAACUGUUACUUUGAAAAAAUUAGAGUGUUUAAAGCAGGCUCGCGCUUGAAUACAUUAGCAUGGAAUAAUGAAAUAGGACGUUCGACCCUAUUUUGUUGGUUUCUAGGAUUGACGUA
This 216-nucleotide ribosomal RNA is filed under the name uncultured fungus. RNAcentral's name for it is "partial small subunit ribosomal RNA". The stretch from base 38 to 216 matches the Rfam family "Eukaryotic small subunit ribosomal RNA", at positions 684 to 864 of the family's 1831-position model. The record is from RNAcentral. Lineage: Eukaryota; Fungi.